This 68-nucleotide transfer RNA is filed under the name Pleroneura sp. 1 GYN-2021b. RNAcentral describes it as "tRNA-Cys". Lineage: Eukaryota; Metazoa; Arthropoda; Insecta; Hymenoptera; Xyelidae. The record is from RNAcentral.
AGUCUUAUAGUUAAUUUAAUAAUAUUAAUUUGCAAAAUUAAAGUAAUAAUAAUUUAUUAUUAAGGCUU